This 110-nucleotide ribosomal RNA is filed under the name Pogona vitticeps (central bearded dragon). The record is from RNAcentral. Lineage: Eukaryota; Metazoa; Chordata; Lepidosauria; Squamata; Agamidae.
CUUUAUCAUCCUUAACACACAAAGUUCAUCUCAUUUUGGAAGCUAAGCAGCAUCAGGCCUGGUCAAGACUCUGGUGAGAGAUCACCAGGGAACACUUGGGAUCUCAAGGC